GACGAACGCUGGCGGCGUGCUUAAGACAUGCAAGUCGAACGGAAAGGCCCUGCUUUUGUGGGGUGCUCGAGUGACGAACGGGUGAGUAACACGUGAGUAACCUGCCCUUGACUUUGGGAUAACUUCAGGAAACUGGGGCUAAUACCGGAUAGGAGCUCCUGCUGCAUGGUGGGGGUUGGAAAGUUUCGGCGGUUGGGGAUGGACUCGCGGCUUAUCAGCUUGUUGGUGGGGUAGUGGCUUACCAAGGCUUUGACGGGUGGCCGGCCUGAGAGGGUGACCGGCCACAUUGGGACUGAGAUACGGCCCAGACUCCUACGGGAGGCAGCAGUGGGGAAUAUUGCACAAUGGGCGGAAGCCUGAUGCAGCAACGCCGCGUGCGGGAUGACGGCCUUCGGGUUGUAAACCGCUUUCGCCUGUGACGAAGCGUGAGUGACGGUAAUGGGUAAAGAAGCACCGGCUAACUACGUG
RNAcentral lists this ribosomal RNA (468 nucleotides) under uncultured bacterium. RNAcentral's name for it is "partial 16S ribosomal RNA". It matches the Rfam family "Bacterial small subunit ribosomal RNA", at positions 28 to 507 of the family's 1533-position model. The record is from RNAcentral.